GAGCUCAAGCUGAUUGCCCACCUUGGCCUCCCAAAGUGCUGGGAUUACAGACAUUUUGUUUCUUUCCCAGAUCUUUCAUAUUGAAGAUCUCAGAAGGAGAGGCAUGGAUAUGGGCACAGAACUCUUUGCCUAAAACACGGUAUGUUCUUUCUUGAGACGCCGAUAUGCUAGCUAAAAAGGCUGCAUACUGAAUCAUUGCCAGUUCGCUUGUAUGUGCAAGUACAUUAUCUAGUACCCUUUUUAUUUUCUGAUAUAUAUCAGGUACAAUAUUCUCAUCCUCUGGGCGUCCUUUAAAGCACGGAGUGAAGAGGCUUGAAGAGAGAGAAAAGUAGAGAUCCCUUGGAGGGGGUAGAGUUUCAUUUCUGAAUAUGAGACUGAGUGUUGUAACGAUGUGGCACUGCUCAUCUGGAAUGUUAUGACCACAGGAAAUAAAAAAUUUUAGUAUCAAGACAAAUAGAUUUAAAGCAAAAGAGAAGAAGUGCUUCAUGCUCAUCAAAUCAGUAAAAGGGAGAUAAGUCUCCAAAUAUACACCAUCUGUUCUCUAAUCCUCCUCCAAGUUUUAUUUCUAUGAAAGUUCAUUUGCCAACAAGCUAAAAAAAAAUCUAGCUCCUAUGAAAGGUUCUAGAGUAGUGUUUUGAAGGAGACAAAAGCCUCUUUUUCUAAUUAUGAAGCAAUAGAGAAUUUUAGAUUUCUGGCUGUUUGGCCUGUUGGGGUGUAUGCUAUUUAAAAGUUACCUAAUGUUUCAGUCAGUUACCCAGGAAACCAACUAAUUUAUCACAAGUAAAUUAUAUCAAGGUAAGCUAGGUGGCUCCUGAAAGAAAACCAAUCCCCCAGUCCAUUUUAUUGUAUUAUUUAGCUAGUUCACAAAUAAACUGUGUCCCAGUAUUGAACUCAUAAUAAAGAGUAACUAAAGAUGCAAAAAAGGUAUUAAGAAUGGAGGACUUCUUUUUUAUAGAUAACAUACUUAAGAGUAGUCUUAAACCAGCAAAAGAGGAAAGAAAAUAGCUAGGAAAAUAAAACAAAAAUAAAGUCUAAGAGUGGUAGUCUAUCUUGUUGUUUCAUGUACCUUGGGCAACCAUUGUCUA
Non-coding RNA from Chlorocebus sabaeus (green monkey), 1085 nucleotides. The record is from RefSeq and is a predicted model, not a curated record. Lineage: Eukaryota; Metazoa; Chordata; Mammalia; Primates; Cercopithecidae.